Long non-coding RNA from Peromyscus californicus insignis, 2066 nucleotides. RefSeq lists it as uncharacterized. The transcript has 3 exons. NCBI's taxonomy places the organism in Eukaryota, Metazoa, Chordata, Mammalia, Rodentia, Cricetidae. The record is from RefSeq and is a predicted model, not a curated record.
UUCAGGCCUGAUUGCUCAUAGUACUUUCCCAAGCCCCUGCUUUUCUCACUAGCUCGUAACAUUGAACUCUAGCUACAGCUUGUUCCCCCCACAGUGUGUGGCUUUGCAAAUACGCGUCACACUUGCACUGUCCCAGCCACUAAGUGGGAGAUUCCGCUUAUCGACAGAGGAAUUCUGCGAGCCAAGGUGGCCACCAGAGCGCUAUCUACGGUCACCUUCAUGCAGCUAUCGUACCAGAGUAAAGCCAACUGGUCUGUCUGGGCACUGUCUUCAGUCUGGGGACCCACCUUCCAGGAAGGACACUCACGAGGUUGGGUGUGACAGAGAAUACGACACAGAUAGCCAGGUCCUGACCAUCGUGUCUGAGGAUACUCAGCUGAGGCCGCUGAGAUCAUUUAAACUGAAGAGCUAGAAGAGCUGGGUGGUAGAAACAUCCUACUCUGUGUCUUUCCAAAGAUGACCACUCUUCAAGUGAACGCCGAAGCUACAUGUCCCCCUCCCUAGGUGAGAGGCCUCUAUGUCGCUUCUAUUGGAAUGCUCCAGUCCUGUGGAGAGACUGUCCCUGACUCAAUAACUAACUGGAUCUAGAAGUACCUGGAGGCCAUUUUUUCCUGUGCAUGGGACAUAUCCUGGGAAGGACAGCUGCUGUGUCACAUGUGUUGAGAAGACACUCCUGAUUGUCACCGGCAGCACGGUACUUCAUGGAGCUGCCUGCUCUCGCCAGCAUUUGGCUCCUGUCAGCAUUGCCACUUAGCAGCGCCAUGACCUUGGCAAACUGUGCUGAGAGCUUCUCUGCUCGGGAACCACCGAUGUCUGUCCUCAGAGUAGUUCCACAGCACGUGACCAUCUUGAUGCAGGGUUGUCUGUCACUGGUACCAGGUCAGAGCCCUGAGAUGACAACACCUCCAUCAGGGCAGCAGCCCCACUGGGGGAUGGGUGAGGCAGGCUGGCUUCAGCUAUGCCUGCAGGAUGGAAAGGUUUUGAGAGACCUCCCUGUGGCAGGCAGAGAGGCCAGCGGGCUCCAGAAGUGCCCCAUGACUGAUCCUUGAUCCAUUCCUAUCUGGCUGAGACCUUGGGCAGGCCACUGACCUGAAAUGCAUUUUCUUUUUGCUUCCUCCUCUAGUGGAGAAUUCAAGGCAGAGUAUCACAACACCUGACACUACAUAAUAGCCAGGUUGUGUUGCGUUUAUUGAUCUAUAAAAUGCUCUUGCUUUCUAAAGCCCAUGAUCUCAUCCUAGAGGUCAAAGUCUUCUGGAGAUUUCCUCCUAUCCAGAUCUCCUGGAGUCCCUCUCUCCUGGGUAAUGUUUGCCCAACAUCUAUAAGGAGCAAGGUGCCCUCUAUGUAGCAGUGAGCAGUGUGUUGGUGCCAGGAAAGGCCAAAGGGACAAAGUGUGUCCAGGGCUCACUCUCAAAGUUAAUGAGUUCAUUAGGAUCAUGGAGAGUGCAGAGUUCUCAUCUCUGAGGCCCUGCAAGUCACUCCAGGGUCACCUGCUUUCUCAUGGUUCUACUCUGGUGUGUCUCCUGUCUACAUCAAACCUGCCUGCCCUGCUGCAAGGAAGUCAAGACAGAGGGAGAGAGACGUCAGGGCCACUGGCAAAGAGGAGACCUAAAGAUACUGGCCUGGAAGAAAGGAGCAGAAAUGAGAAGGCCCAUCUGGACAUCACCGUGCAGAGCGAGCCUCAGCAAUUAUCUUCCUGUUGGCUUCAGCCUUCCCUCAGCUGAAGGGAAAUCUUUCUUCUCCACCCCUUCACCAAACUGGCCUUUCAGGCUCUGUGGCUCAGGUUCACGGCCAGGUGGCCGAGUUGCAAAUCUGCGCAGCUUCUGCGGGCCCUACUUCCGUGGCCCUCCCCACCCCCACAGCAGCCAGGAGCAGAAUCAUCCCCUGAGGCUCCUUCGUGAAAAGGCCCUGAAGUCUGUGACUCCAAAACCCGACCUGAGCAGGAAACACGGACUCCAGCCAGCUUCCAGCCAGGAGAACUCCCUCUGCUCAGGACUGGUGCCAAAAGGCUGGGAAUGAGGCUCAGGUGGUAGGGGUGCCGGCCAGGCACGGACCAAGUCGUGUGUUUG